GCAGUGGUACUUCAGUGGUAGAGUUCUUGCCUUUCAUGCAAGAGACCUGGGUUCGACUCCGAGCCCAUGCA
RNAcentral lists this transfer RNA (71 nucleotides) under Loxodonta africana (African savanna elephant). It matches the Rfam family "tRNA". Rfam says of the family: Transfer RNA (tRNA) molecules are approximately 80 nucleotides in length. Their secondary structure includes four short double-helical elements and three loops (D, anti-codon, and T loops). The record is from Rfam by way of RNAcentral. Lineage: Eukaryota; Metazoa; Chordata; Mammalia; Proboscidea; Elephantidae.